Molecule: ribosomal RNA, 244 nt
Filed under: uncultured bacterium
Lineage: Bacteria
Description: partial 16S ribosomal RNA
Rfam family: Bacterial small subunit ribosomal RNA
Source: RNAcentral
GAUCCUGGCUCAGAUUGAACGCUAGCGGGAUGCCUUACACAUGCAAGUCGAACGGCAGCACGGACUUCGGUCUGGUUGGCGAGUGGCGAACGGGUGAGUAAUGUAUCGGAACGUGCCCAGUAGCGGGGAUAACUACGCGAAAGCGUAGCUAAUACCGCAUACGCCUACGGGGAAAGCAGGGAUCGCAAGACCUUGCACUAUUGGUAGCGGCCGAUAUCGGAUUAGCUAGUUGGUGGGGUAACGG